RNAcentral lists this ribosomal RNA (228 nucleotides) under uncultured bacterium. RNAcentral's name for it is "partial 16S ribosomal RNA". It matches the Rfam family "Bacterial small subunit ribosomal RNA", at positions 585 to 810 of the family's 1533-position model. The record is from RNAcentral.
AAGUCAGAUGUGAAGGCCUUCUGUUCAACGGAAGAAUUGCAUCUGAAACUGCGAGUCUUGAGUGUAGGAGGGGAGAAUGGAACUUCUGGUGGAGCGGUGAAAUGCGUAGAUAUCAGAAGGAACGCCGGCGGAGAAAGCAAUUCUCUGGCCUAUUACUGACACUCAGUGUGCGAACGUAAGGGGGAGCAAACGGGAUUAGAUACCCGGGUAGUCCUAGCCGUAAACGAU